This 2919-nucleotide ribosomal RNA is filed under the name Salmonella enterica. RNAcentral's name for it is "bacterial LSU rRNA". It matches the Rfam family "Bacterial large subunit ribosomal RNA". The record is from RNAcentral. Lineage: Bacteria; Pseudomonadati; Pseudomonadota; Gammaproteobacteria; Enterobacterales; Enterobacteriaceae.
GGGUUGUGAGGUUAAGCGACUAAGCGUACACGGUGGAUGCCCUGGCAGUCAGAGGCGAUGAAGGGCGUGCUAAUCUGCGAUAAGCGCCGGUAAGGUGAUAUGAACCGUUAUAACCGGCGAUACCCGAAUGGGGAAACCCAGUGUGACUCGUCACACUAUCAUUAACUGAAUCCAUAGGUUAAUGAGGCGAACCGGGGGAACUGAAACAUCUAAGUACCCCGAGGAAAAGAAAUCAACCGAGAUUCCCCCAGUAGCGGCGAGCGAACGGGGAGGAGCCCAGAGCCUGAAUCAGCAUGUGUGUUAGUGGAAGCGUCUGGAAAGGCGCGCGAUGCAGGGUGACAGCCCCGUACACAAAAGCGCAUGUGCUGUGAGCUCGAUGAGUAGGGCGGGACACGUGGUAUCCUGUCUGAAUAUGGGGGGACCAUCCUCCAAGGCUAAAUACUCCUGACUGACCGAUAGUGAACCAGUACCGUGAGGGAAAGGCGAAAAGAACCCCGGCGAGGGGAGUGAAAAAGAACCUGAAACCGUGUACGUACAAGCAGUGGGAGCACCCUUUGGGGUGUGACUGCGUACCUUUUGUAUAAUGGGUCAGCGACUUAUAUUCUGUAGCAAGGUUAACCGAAUAGGGGAGCCGGAGGGAAACCGAGUCUUAAUUGGGCGUUAAGUUGCAGGGUAUAGACCCGAAACCCGGUGAUCUAGCCAUGGGCAGGUUGAAGGUUGGGUAACACUAACUGGAGGACCGAACCGACUAAUGUUGAAAAUUAGCGGAUGACCUGUGGCUGGGGUGAAAGGCCAAUCAAACCGGGAGAUAGCUGGUUCUCCCGAAAGCUAUUUAGGUAGCGCCUCGUGAAUUCAUCUCCGGGGUAGAGCACUGUUUCGGCUAGGGGCCAUCCCGGCUUACCAACCCGAUGCAAACUGCGAAUACCGGAGAAUGUUAUCACGGGAGACACACGGCGGGUGCUAACGUCCGUCGUGAAGAGGGAAACAACCCAGACCGCCAGCUAAGGUCCCAAAGUCAUGGUUAUGGGAAACGAUGUGGGAAGGCCCAGACAGCCGUGAUGUUGGCUUAGAAGCAGCCAUCAUUUAAAGAAAGCGUAAUAGCUCACUGGUCGAGUCGGCCUGCGCGGAAGAUGUAACGGGCUAAACCAUGCACCGAAGCUGCGGCAGCGACGCUGAUGCGUUGUUGGGUAGGGGAGCGUUCUGUAAGCCUGCGAAGGUGGCCUGUGAGGGUUGCUGGAGGUAUCAGAAGUGCGAAUGCUGACAUAAGUAACGAUAAAGCGGGUGAAAAGCCCGCUCGCCGGAAGACCAAGGGUUCCUGUCCAACGUUAAUCGGGGCAGGGUGAGUCGACCCCUAAGGCGAGGCCGAAAGGCGUAGUCGAUGGGAAACGGGUUAAUAUUCCCGUACUUGGUGUUACUGCGAAGGGGGGACGGAGAAGGCUAUGUUGGCCGGGCGACGGUUGUCCCGGUUUAAGCGUGUAGGUGUGUGUUCCAGGUAAAUCCGGUUCACUUUAACACUGAGGCGUGAUGACGAGGCACUACGGUGCUGAAGCAACAAAUGCCCUGCUUCCAGGAAAAGCCUCUAAGCAUCAGGUAACAUCAAAUCGUACCCCAAACCGACACAGGUGGUCAGGUAGAGAAUACCAAGGCGCUUGAGAGAACUCGGGUGAAGGAACUAGGCAAAAUGGUGCCGUAACUUCGGGAGAAGGCACGCUGACACGUAGGUGAAGUGAUUUACUCAUGGAGCUGAAGUCAGUCGAAGAUACCAGCUGGCUGCAACUGUUUAUUAAAAACACAGCACUGUGCAAACACGAAAGUGGACGUAUACGGUGUGACGCCUGCCCGGUGCCGGAAGGUUAAUUGAUGGGGUCAGCGCAAGCGAAGCUCCUGAUCGAAGCCCCGGUAAACGGCGGCCGUAACUAUAACGGUCCUAAGGUAGCGAAAUUCCUUGUCGGGUAAGUUCCGACCUGCACGAAUGGCGUAAUGAUGGCCAGGCUGUCUCCACCCGAGACUCAGUGAAAUUGAACUCGCUGUGAAGAUGCAGUGUACCCGCGGCAAGACGGAAAGACCCCGUGAACCUUUACUAUAGCUUGACACUGAACAUUGAGCCUUGAUGUGUAGGAUAGGUGGGAGGCUUUGAAGCGUGGACGCCAGUCUGCGUGGAGCCGACCUUGAAAUACCACCCUUUAAUGUUUGAUGUUCUAACGUGGACCCGUUACCCGGGUUGCGGACAGUGUCUGGUGGGUAGUUUGACUGGGGCGGUCUCCUCCUAAAGAGUAACGGAGGAGCACGAAGGUUGGCUAAUCCUGGUCGGACAUCAGGAGGUUAGUGCAAUGGCAUAAGCCAGCUUGACUGCGAGCGUGACGGCGCGAGCAGGUGCGAAAGCAGGUCAUAGUGAUCCGGUGGUUCUGAAUGGAAGGGCCAUCGCUCAACGGAUAAAAGGUACUCCGGGGAUAACAGGCUGAUACCGCCCAAGAGUUCAUAUCGACGGCGGUGUUUGGCACCUCGAUGUCGGCUCAUCACAUCCUGGGGCUGAAGUAGGUCCCAAGGGUAUGGCUGUUCGCCAUUUAAAGUGGUACGCGAGCUGGGUUUAGAACGUCGUGAGACAGUUCGGUCCCUAUCUGCCGUGGGCGCUGGAGAACUGAGGGGGGCUGCUCCUAGUACGAGAGGACCGGAGUGGACGCAUCACUGGUGUUCGGGUUGUCAUGCCAAUGGCACUGCCCGGUAGCUAAAUGCGGAAGAGAUAAGUGCUGAAAGCAUCUAAGCACGAAACUUGCCCCGAGAUGAGUUCUCCCUGAGACUUAAAGUCUCCUGAAGGAACGUUGAAGACGACGACGUUGAUAGGCCGGGUGUGUAAGCGCAGCGAUGCGUUGAGCUAACCGGUACUAAUGAACCGUGAGGCUUAACCUUACAACGCCGAAG